This 421-nucleotide ribosomal RNA is filed under the name uncultured bacterium. Its description in RNAcentral is "bacterial SSU rRNA". It matches the Rfam family "Bacterial small subunit ribosomal RNA", at positions 29 to 451 of the family's 1533-position model. The record is from RNAcentral.
AGUAAACGCUGGCGGCGUGCUUAACACAUGCAAGUCGAGCGAGAAAGCUCCUUCGGGAGUUAGUACAGCGGCGGACGGGUGAGUAACGCGUGGGAAUCUGCCCUUUAGUGAGGAAUACCCUCGAGAAAUCGGGGUUAAGUACUGCAUAAGUCUCUUACGAGAGAAAGCUGGCCUCUUUGCUGGCGCUAAAGGAUGAGCCUACGUACUAUUAGCUAGUUGGUGGGGUAAUGGCCUACCAAGGCGAUGAUGGUUAGCCGGCCUGAGAGGGCGUACGGCCACACUGGAACUUAGACACGGUCCAGACUCCUACGGGAGGCAGCAGUGGGGAAGUAUUGCGCAAUGGGCGAAAGACCUGACGCAGCGACGCCGCGUGGAGGAUGAAGGUCUUCGGAUUGUAAACUUCUGUUAAGUGGGAAGAAAG